Callithrix jacchus (white-tufted-ear marmoset) is the source of this 3384-nucleotide non-coding RNA. Lineage: Eukaryota; Metazoa; Chordata; Mammalia; Primates; Cebidae. The record is from RefSeq and is a predicted model, not a curated record.
CUAAGAGUCAGUCACUCCAGCGGAAGUUCUGAGGAACUCCUUUCAUUGGCCUGGGGUCUUGGAGAAGGCGGGGUUCCUCCCAGGUUAGAAGCCCCCUUCUUCCACACCCCUUCGGCCUCCAUGUUUGGGUCCCUCCCAGGAACACCCCCUUGGUGGAAGCCGUCUUUCCCUCUCCUGGAUUUCCCCUCUGGAGUCCCCCUUCCACACUCUCUCGUGGAAGCCUGUCUUCCCCCCUAAACUCCAUCUCUCUAUUCCCUUCCACUCAGUGUGGAAGCUGCUUUCCUGUCCUGGGUUCCAUCUUUCUGGAUUCUCUCACUCGGUGUGAGAGUCAGCUGUGUCUCUCUCUACCUAAAUAAAAUCCCUUUAUCCAACACUUCCUAAGUCCGACAUUUACUGCGCCCUGGUCUCCUCUCAUUCUUAAGAGGGCAGGAGACCAAGCACCUGGAGAAACGUCCUCUCAAGGAAGCCAAGGGCACCCUGAACCCCAAAACCCCAAUAUUACAUUUGGCGAGCCAGCCAGGAGAGGGGUACACCCAAAAGGGGUACGGCCAGAAGAGGGGUACAGCCAGAGAAAGAAAGUUAAAAUCGUGAGUAAAACCGGCCCCAUUGUCCUGUCUCUUUAAAAAUCUCCUGAAGGCGCGGACGGGCAGGGCUGAGGGGAACCUGAGCACGCGCCUCAGAGGCCCGACCCAACCAAAGUUAAAAGCGCAGUUUUUUUACCUCCAAGCUCUCUCUCCGCGUUCCUCUCCUUCUCUAUCCUUCGGAUAUUAUCUCUGGGACCAAAAGCUGCCGAAGCCUGUGGGGUGGAAAGGGCGAGCACUCCCCACUCUCUGCUCAUUGCUGGCGAGGAACAGCCCAGCCCCGGGCGCAGAACCGCGCAUGCGCAGAGGUUGGUCAGAGAAAAACAACGGGGAGGGGCAGGUUCAGCCGGAGUCUGCAGGGGGCCGAGCGCCACGGCCUGAGGCACGGUUCUGUCAGGCCUCCCAGGCGUUCUCCAGCCUCUCCCGGGCCUUCUCCAGCCUCCCGGGUGUUCUCCAGGCCUCUCCCGGGCGUUCUCCAGGCCUCUCCGGCGUUCUACAGCCUCCCGGGUGUUCUUCAGCCUCCCGGGCGUUCUCCAGGCCUCUCCCCGGCGUUCUGCAGCCUUUCCCGGGCGUUCUCCAGGCCUCCAGGGCAUUCUCCAGCCUCUCGGGUGUUCACCAGGCCUCUCCCGGGCGUUCUCCAGGCCUCUCCGGCGUUCUACAGCCUCCCGGGUGUUCUUCAGCCUCCCGGGCGUUCUCCAGGCCUCUCCCCGGCGUUCUGCAGCCUUUCCCGGGCGUUCUCCAGGCCUCUCCCCGGCGUUCUGCAGCCUUUCCCGGGUGUUCUCCAGGCCUUUCCCGGGUGUUCUCCAGCCUCUCCUGCGUUCUCCCGUCCCAGGCAGCAGGGGAAACUCCAUUAUUAAUGAUUGGAGAUGUAUUUAAUUCAUCGGAACUUGAGAGAAUAGAAGUUAUUUACUGAAAAUGUUAACAUCACGCUGAAUAUGGAAAAAUGUAUAAACUAGAAGGUGGAUGGGCCCAAGAGCAAACCAUGGAGAGCAAAGCUAAGGCGUAAAGGAAUACAGUACAUCACAUUACAGACUGAAAUUCUCAUCAGGCAGUUGUGUGAAGACCUACUUCUGUUUCCAGUUCUUUUAUUGAAGAAUCCCACUGAAAAGUACCAUAUUUUGAAUGAAAGGUUAAUCCUAUCCUUCAACCAGCAAAGAAGAAUCUAUCUUUCUUGCUGGGGGGACUCAAACAAUCUCUGGACAUUGUUGGAAACUGUGAAGAGAGAAAAAGAAAAUAUAUAGACAAGUUCUAGAAAAUUCUACCCAAAAGUGACACAACUUAAUUCUGCCACAUCUUACUGACCAACGUCACAUCUUAUGGACCUCAGGGUGGCAGGUUCAUGUAAUACUGAUCCAUAAAACAACAGUUAUGUGAUCCAACACAUGACUCAAUACUCACAUUUCCUAUAAACCUGAGAAGUGCUAAAGGAAACUAUACUACUAUCAUUUUUCAAUGUGCUUCAGAAAAACCAUGGUGGCAUGUAUUGUUUUAAAUCUAUAGUAAAGGUGGACUUGGCGCUAGUGGCAAAGGGAGCUGUGGUUUGGAUUCAUCUUGGAACAUCUCCCGGCAGCAGAAUUUUGUUUAUCUUUCAGUGUUGAUUCCUCAAGGUGGAAAUAGAAAAGGCACAGACCAAGCAUUGUUAGAAGACAUGGCAGUGCUUCCCAUAUAUUUCAUUGUUUUAUUGAGUUUUAUUUGGUGCCCCUGUUUUCCUUAAAUAUCAAGUAUGUUUAACUUCUUACUGUUCUUGGAAUAAAAACUGCACAAUUUAACCAGAGGAGCAGCUUAGAGAUUAUUGAAAGCCGCACUCUCCGGGGCAGGCAUGGCAUUCAAAUGUCUGUAGUUAAAAAUGGCAUGUUUCUUUUUUUCAUCUUCAUUUGUAAUUUCUUGUAAUGAGAAUUAAAUACUGAAAACAGAUAACACCUCAUGAACUUGUCAAAGUUUGGAAAAAGAUACUGAAGUUCAUAUUUUGCUACAUAUUGCAAUGUUUUUUAAAAUAUAUAUCUAAAUAAAGAAAUGCUUACUUAUCCAUCCAGAAACAUUCAACAUUUUUUCAAAAAAUAGCUUUCACCUGGAUUGGUAUUUUAAAAAUGUGACCCAGAGAGGCAUGCCCCUUUAUGAGCUGUGCAAUAUCAAGGGAAGAAAGAGGCACGAAACAUGUUCCUAGGUGCCAGGACCUUGCCGCUGCUUUCAACAAAGGAACUAAACUAGUUUUAUCUUUUUAAUUUUAUUUAGAUUGCUUAGGUUUUCAUUUAAAUAAAGGCACCAUGGCUGAAAACAACAGCAAAUCAAAACAAAGACAAAUUUUUAAAAAUAAUUGAAUGCCACCAAUCUAUAUGAUGGAAAGAACUUUCAAAGAAGAACUAUGUAUACAGAUUGUUCUCAAACUAGAAUGCUUUAGAUAAUGUUCCAUAGCAAGAAUGCUAUAUAAACAGGACUGAUAGAAGUAUUUUUCUGAUUAUUGAUUUUACAAUAUGCCAUUGAUUUAUUUAGAUAAAAGGUAAAGUCUUUUUAAAAUUUAUAUUUAUAAAAUUAGAGACAUAGCAAAAGUGUUGUUUGUUAAAAUAUUCAUUAAUUCUUUGGGGAACAUUUGAAAACAAAGUGAAUUUCCAAGUUAAGAUCUCAAUCUUUAAUAAUUAACAGGUUAAUAAAUUAUUAACUGACAUUACUAGGCACAGGUAAUUUUCAUGUAAAAAGAAAGUAGAAACAGUUUAAGAGGUCAAUGUAUCAACUUCUCCUGAUUUAGAACUCUAAAAGUUUCGUUAUUUAGGAUGUUUUUGUAUUUUUCAUGUAUAUUUGCUUUACA